This is a long non-coding RNA of Bubalus bubalis (water buffalo), 318 nucleotides long. RefSeq lists it as uncharacterized. The record is from RefSeq and is a predicted model, not a curated record. Lineage: Eukaryota; Metazoa; Chordata; Mammalia; Artiodactyla; Bovidae. The transcript is spliced from 2 exons.
GCCAACACACACCUCCCAGGAUUUUUGCUACCAUGCUGUGAAGGGCCAUCCAGGAUAAAUGGGUCAUGGUGGAGAGUUCUAACAAAACAUGGUCCACUGAAGAAGGGAAUGGCAAACAACCGUGGUAUUCUUGCCUCAAGAAUUCCAUUGGUAGUAUAAAGAGGCAAAAGGAUAUGACACCAGAAGAGAAGCCUUUCAGACUGGAAAAACAUUCAACAUUCACAGACAUCCAAGUCAAUUCCCCAACCAUUAAUGUCAAAGAAGCUGAACUUGAAUAGUUCUAUGAAGACCUACAAGACCUUCUAGAACUAGCACCAG